RNAcentral lists this long non-coding RNA (488 nucleotides) under Carica papaya (papaya). Its description in RNAcentral is "long non-coding RNA (CPAP_LNC009359)". Lineage: Eukaryota; Viridiplantae; Streptophyta; Magnoliopsida; Brassicales; Caricaceae. The record is from RNAcentral.
GUCGACUUUUUCUCUGGUUUGAUAAAGUGAUGGAGCACUAGUGCUGCUCGUAUCCGCCGCUGCACGGGAUAAUUUGAUGCAUCUCCUCCUGAUAAUUCUAUGGCUGAUUGCUUGUGGUGUUGAAUGAAAUGAGUAUUUGUGGUGUGAAGUUGUUGUUGCAAGGAAGGUUAGGGAUGGAGGAGUAGUGAUGUUGCAAAGGGGUUGGCAAAAAGUCGUCGUACCCAUGGCUGCUUACGAGCAGCGAAAUGUUGAAAAGGCGACUGUAAGGAGGAGCAACGACGGGAAGAAAGUCGAGGAAGAGAAAAUGUAAGAUAUUUAGAUAAUUAAAUAAUAAUAAAUAAAUAAAUAAAUAAAGCAAUUCUCACCAUUUUAGUUUCAUUUCGAACAAUAUUAUAUAAUCUAGAAAAUGUAAAAAUUAAAUGAAAAUUCUAAUUUUAAAUUUUAAUUAAAUGGAUAAUGCACAUUUUUCACUAUUUUGUUGCGUGCAC